GACAGAGGUGCCGAGCGUUAGGCGGAAUCACUGGGCUUAAAGCGUGUGUAGGCGGAUCCGUAAGUACCUUGUGAAAUCCCACGGCUCAACCGUGGAACGGCUGGGUAUACUGCGGGUCUUGAGCCACUUAGGGGCAACCGGAACAAACGGUGGAGCGGUGAAAUGCGUAGAUAUCGUUUGGAACGCCGAUGGUGAAAACAGGUUGCUGGGAGUGCGCUGACGCUGAGACACGAAAGCCAGGGGAGCGAACGGG
Molecule: ribosomal RNA, 253 nt
Filed under: uncultured bacterium
Lineage: Bacteria
Description: partial 16S ribosomal RNA
Rfam family: Bacterial small subunit ribosomal RNA
Source: RNAcentral